AAACGUAGUGUUUCGCUUUCUGAAGUGUCUUUGAAACGGAUAAGAAUGUGUUAUUUGUGUGUUUCGCGUAUGUUUGUGUAUUUAUACUAGAGCGUCAUGAUUGAAAUGGUACGCAACACCCAAAGUGCUAUGUAAAAGCAUUUUUCUCGUUCAAUAUCGUACACACAUCCCAAAUUAAACGAGCGCUGUGGUGUAUUAUAAGAAAUACAAACGAAAUUAUAAAACAAAUCUUAUAAGAAAAACAACGAACUACAAAGAAUAAGCACAAAAAGCUGUAUGUAUAAAUACAAAAACGAAGUCAACAUCGUUUCGUUGCAGCCGGUAUUCUGAGUAAUAAAUAGUGUGGACAUAAAAUAUUACAACUGUAAACCCAUCCAAGAUGACGCAACCGCUGCCCAUUCGCUUUCAGGAGCAUUUGCAGCUCACUAAUGUUGGUAUCAAUGCAAACUCGUUCUCCUUUAGUACGCUUACGAUGGAGUCGGAUAAGUUUAUUUGCGUACGUGAGAAGGUCAAUGAUACCGCUCAAGUGGUCAUCAUCGAUAUGAAUGAUUCGGCCAAUCCCACGAGGCGUCCCAUAUCAGCGGACUCGGCCAUCAUGAAUCCAGCGAGCAAGGUGAUUGCGCUCAAAGCGCAAAAGACACUGCAAAUUUUCAACAUUGAAAUGAAAUCGAAAAUGAAGGCGCAUACGAUGAACGAAGAUGUAGUGUUCUGGAAAUGGAUCUCUCUUAAUACGCUUGCUUUGGUGACAGAAACCUCCGUCUAUCAUUGGUCCAUGGAAGGUGACUCCAUGCCACAGAAAAUGUUUGAUAGACAUUCUUCAUUAAGCGGCUGCCAGAUUAUCAAUUAUCGCUGCAAUGCGUCACAGCAAUGGUUACUGCUCGUUGGGAUCUCUGCACUUUCCACUCGCGUUGCUGGCGCCAUGCAAUUGUAUUCUGUGGAGCGUAAAGUGUCGCAGGCUAUUGAGGGCCAUGCCGCCUCGUUUGCCACCUUUAAAAUCGAAGGCAACAAGGAGCCAACGACACUAUUCUGCUUUGCCGUGCGCACUGCAACUGGCGGUAAAUUGCACAUAAUUGAGGUGGGAACACCACCAAAUGGAAAUCAACCAUUCCCGAAGAAGGCCGUCGAUGUAUUUUUCCCGCCCGAAGCGCAAAAUGAUUUCCCUGUCGCCAUGCAGGUCUCUGCUAAGUACGAUACCAUCUAUUUGAUAACCAAAUAUGGCUAUAUACAUCUGUACGACAUGGAAACUGCCACUUGCAUCUACAUGAAUCGCAUAUCGGCGGAUACGAUUUUUGUGACUGCACCGCACGAGGCUAGCGGUGGCAUCAUUGGCGUCAAUCGAAAAGGUCAAGUGUUGUCAGUGACCGUCGACGAAGAGCAGAUCAUUCCCUAUAUAAACACAGUGCUUCAAAAUCCCGAUCUAGCUUUGCGCAUGGCAGUACGCAAUAAUCUUGCAGGUGCCGAAGAUUUAUUCGUGCGCAAAUUCAAUAAACUCUUCUCCGCCGGUCAAUAUGCCGAGGCUGCUAAAGUAGCAGCUCUGGCGCCUAAGGGAAUUUUGCGUACUCCUCAGACAAUACAACGUUUCCAGCAGGUGCAAACGCCAGCGGGCUCCACAACGCCGCCAUUAUUGCAAUACUUUGGCAUACUGCUCGAUCAAGGCAAACUGAAUAAGUACGAAUCACUAGAGCUGUGCCGCCCAGUGCUGGUUCAGGGUAAAAAGCAGCUAUGUGAGAAGUGGCUAAAGGAGGAAAAACUCGAAUGCAGUGAAGAGUUGGGUGAUCUUGCAAAAACCUCGGAUCUAACAUUGGCUCUGUCGAUUUAUUUACGUGCCAAUGUACCCAACAAGGUUAUACAAUGCUUUGCUGAGACGGGGCAAUUCCAGAAGAUUGUGCUCUAUGCCAAAAAGGUUAACUACACGCCUGACUAUAUAUUUUUGUUGCGCUCAGUAAUGCGUACCAAUCCAGAGCAAGGAGCUGGUUUCGCCUCAAUGCUAGUGGCUGAGGAAGAACCACUGGCGGACAUCAAUCAAAUUGUAGACAUUUUUAUGGAGCACUCUAUGGUGCAGCAAUGCACAGCUUUCCUGCUGGACGCCCUCAAGCACAAUCGACCAGCCGAAGGGGCAUUGCAGACACGUCUUCUUGAGAUGAAUCUUAUGUCAGCACCUCAGGUGGCAGAUGCCAUUUUAGGAAAUGCGAUGUUCACUCACUACGAUCGGGCACACAUUGCCCAGCUUUGUGAGAAGGCCGGACUGCUGCAACGCGCCCUUGAGCACUAUACGGAUCUGUAUGACAUUAAGCGGGCAGUGGUGCACACGCAUAUGUUAAAUGCCGAAUGGUUAGUCAGUUUCUUUGGUACACUAUCAGUGGAGGAUUCUCUGGAGUGUUUGAAGGCUAUGCUUACGGCUAAUCUGCGGCAAAAUCUGCAAAUUUGUGUUCAAAUCGCCACCAAAUACCACGAACAACUCACUACAAAGGCGCUUAUUGAUUUGUUUGAGAGUUUCAAAAGCUACGAUGGCCUAUUCUACUUCCUUAGCUCCAUUGUAAAUUUCUCGCAAGAUCCCGAGGUCCAUUUCAAGUAUAUACAGGCUGCUUGCAAGACCAAUCAGAUCAAGGAGGUGGAGCGCAUCUGUCGCGAAUCAAACUGCUAUAAUCCGGAGCGUGUUAAGAACUUUCUUAAGGAGGCCAAGUUGACAGACCAGCUACCUCUGAUCAUUGUGUGCGAUCGCUUUGAUUUUGUCCAUGAUCUGGUGCUUUAUUUAUAUCGAAACAAUUUGCAAAAGUAUAUUGAGAUUUAUGUGCAGAAGGUUAAUCCAUCACGUCUGCCUGUUGUCGUUGGUGGUCUGUUGGACGUGGAUUGCAGCGAGGACAUUAUCAAGAAUCUAAUACUGGUCGUUAAGGGACAGUUUUCCACUGACGAAUUGGUGGAGGAAGUGGAGAAACGGAAUAGGCUGAAGUUGUUGCUGCCUUGGUUGGAGUCUCGCGUUCACGAGGGAUGUGUGGAACCGGCAACACACAAUGCCCUGGCCAAAAUCUACAUUGAUUCAAACAAUAAUCCCGAGCGUUUCCUCAAGGAGAACCAAAACUAUGACAGUCGCGUGGUUGGACGUUAUUGCGAGAAGCGUGAUCCCCACUUAGCAUGUGUCGCCUAUGAACGUGGUCAGUGCGAUCGCGAGCUUAUCGCCGUAUGCAAUGAAAACUCGCUGUUUAAAAGCGAGGCGCGUUAUUUGGUGGGUCGUCGUGAUGCUGAACUGUGGGCCGAAGUCCUAUCCGAGGCUAAUCCGUAUAAACGUCAGCUAAUCGAUCAGGUGGUUCAAACUGCAUUGUCUGAAACCCAGGAUCCGGAUGAUAUUUCCGUGACGGUGAAAGCGUUCAUGCGUGCUGAUCUGCCAAAUGAGCUAAUCGAGCUUCUGGAGAAGAUCAUUCUUGAUUCGUCAGUGUUUAGUGACCAUCGCAAUUUGCAAAAUCUACUUAUCCUCACAGCGAUUAAAGCUGACCGUACCCGUGUUAUGGACUACAUUAAUAGGCUUGACAAUUAUGAUGCGCCUGACAUCGCCAACAUUGCGAUUAGUAAUCAGCUUUAUGAGGAGGCUUUUGCCAUUUUCAAGAAGUUCGAUGUGAACACAUCAGCCAUUCAAGUGCUUAUCGAUCAGGUGAACAAUUUGGAGCGUGCAAAUGAAUUUGCCGAGCGUUGCAAUGAGCCUGCUGUUUGGUCUCAGCUGGCUAAGGCUCAACUUCAGCAGGGCCUUGUCAAGGAGGCCAUUGAUUCGUAUAUCAAGGCCGAUGAUCCUAGUGCCUACAUGGAUGUGGUAGAUGUGGCCUCUAAGGUGGACUCAUGGGACGAUUUGGUUCGCUAUUUGCAAAUGGCCCGCAAAAAGGCACGCGAAUCCUAUAUUGAAAGCGAACUCAUCUAUGCCUAUGCCCGCACCAAUCGCCUGGCCGAUCUAGAAGAGUUCAUAUCGGGCCCUAAUCAUGCGGAUAUACAAAAGAUUGGCGAUCGAUGCUUCAGUGAUCGCAUGUACGAACCGGCAAAAUUACUGUACAACAAUGUCAGUAACUUUGCACGACUAGCUAUAACCCUGGUGUAUUUAAAGGAAUUUCAAGGUGCUGUCGAUUCAGCACGGAAGGCCAAUUCAACGCGCACCUGGAAGGAAGUUUGCUUUGCGUGCGUGGAUGCUGAGGAGUUUAGGUUGGCACAAAUGUGCGGCCUACACAUUGUUGUUCAUGCCGAUGAGUUGGAGGAUCUAAUAAAUUACUAUCAAAAUCGUGGAUAUUUCGAGGAACUAAUUGCGCUUCUUGAAUCUGCGCUGGGUCUGGAGCGUGCACACAUGGGCAUGUUUACCGAAUUGGCAAUACUGUACUCCAAAUUCAAGCCGUCAAAGAUGCGCGAACAUUUGGAGCUUUUCUGGUCGCGCGUCAACAUACCCAAGGUACUAAGGGCUGCCGAAUCGGCGCAUUUGUGGUCCGAGUUGGUUUUCCUAUAUGACAAGUAUGAGGAAUACGAUAAUGCUGUGCUGGCUAUGAUGGCCCACCCUACGGAAGCAUGGCGCGAGGGUCACUUCAAAGACAUUAUUACCAAGGUGGCUAACAUUGAGCUUUACUACAAGGCAAUUGAGUUCUAUUUGGAUUUCAAACCGCUGCUGUUGAACGACAUGUUAUUAGUUUUAGCGCCGCGUAUGGAUCACACCCGUGCCGUAAGCUCCUUCUCUAAGACGGGCUACCUGCCGCUUGUAAAGCCCUACUUGCGUUCUGUACAAUCGCUUAACAAUAAAGCUAUCAAUGAAUCACUUAACGGUCUGCUUAUCGAUGAGGAGGAUUACCAGGGAUUGCGGAAUUCCAUUGAUGGUUUUGACAAUUUUGAUACCAUUGCACUAGCACAGAAACUGGAGAAACACGAACUGACCGAAUUCAGACGCAUAGCAGCGUAUUUGUACAAAGGAAACAAUCGCUGGAAGCAAAGCGUGGAGCUUUGCAAAAAGGACAAAUUGUACAAGGACGCAAUGGAAUAUGCUGCCGAGUCAGGCAAACAGGAAAUCGCUGAGGAAUUGUUGGGUUGGUUCCUGGAACGCAGCGCUCACGAUUGCUUUGCGGCGUGUCUUUAUCAGUGUUAUGACUUGCUUCGUCCUGAUGUCAUCCUCGAACUGGCAUGGAAACAUAAAAUCAUGGACUUCGCCAUGCCCUAUUUGAUACAGGUUCUGCGCGAGUACACUAUUAAAGUGGACAAACUUGAACUGACUGAGGCGCAGCGCGAAAAAGAAGAUGAUACCACGGAGCAUAAAAACAUAAUAUCCAUGGAGCCACAAUUAAUGAUUACAGCUGGUCCGACCAUGGGAAUACCGCCACAAUAUGCGCAAAAUUAUCCGCCUGCUGCUGCCGCAUCGGCUGCGAGAAACAUGGGCUAUCCAUAUUUGUAGGCAUCCAACAAGAGCAAAAAGACAACUGAAACUUUAACUACCCACAAAAAUCACUACAAGAACAUCAAAUGUAGCAGCAGUAGCAUUGUCACAACUACAACAACGCCCACGAAUUGCAUGCGCGCCAAACGACCAAUAGCAUACACACCAACAACAUACUACAUGCGCUAUAUAUAUGUAGUUUUACCUGUUGAUUCAGCUGAUUAUGUAAAACAUCAAUAUUGCGUUAACACAACUCGCAACACAUUUACAACCAACUAAGAUGCGUGCGGAUUCAACAGGGGACGAACACCAAUAACUUUCAAGAGAAACAACAAUAACAACAACAAAAAGUGGAAUAUUAGCAAUGUUGUGUAGCAGUGUAAAAAGGGGCGCAAUUUGUUAUUGAUUAUUUUAAUUUUAGGAAACUAAAUACAUAAAAUAAAUAAAAACAAGCAUAAAGGUAGCAAAAAGAAUAAAUGCACACAUUUAAUAUAUAUAUUAAAUAACGAAAUGGAAACAAAAACAAGCAAGCGACAAUAUUCAAUAAAAGCUCGCAAAGCUCAGUUGUACAAGUACGCCAACAUGUGUUGAAAUACAAUUUAUUAUUCACACAGAAUUAAAUAAUUAUUAAAACAUUACACAUUCACGAUAUCGAUAUCAAAAAAACCACACAUUCGAAAAUUUCAAAAGUUUAGAAUUUAAAUUUUAAAAAAAGAUCACAUUAAAUUAGCCGGUUAAAAUUAUUAAACAAUUUAAUAAUUAAUUGUAAAGAUAUAUAUGUGUGUAUAUGUGCAUAUAUGAAUAUGCGCGCAUAUAUACGAUAUUCAAUGGUAAUUAUAUCCUUAUAUGUAAUGCAACAAAAGUCUAUGUAUUUGUGUUGUGAGGUCUUAUUUUCGCCCGCUCAACUUUAUUUCCCGGAUAAUUCUUGUUCUCUCUUUUAAUUCGAAGAAAUACGUAAAACAUGUUCUUAUAAAUAUUUAAUAAAGUUGCAAAUUAUCUCGUAUUUACAUUAAAUGUGGAA
Molecule: RNA transcript, 6410 nt
Organism: Scaptodrosophila lebanonensis
Lineage: Eukaryota; Metazoa; Arthropoda; Insecta; Diptera; Drosophilidae
Gene: Chc
Gene name: clathrin heavy chain
Exons: 8
Source: RefSeq, a predicted model, not a curated record